CAGUGACAAGGAGGGGGUAGAAUCACUGUCAGAGGACGUGGAUCAACUUGUCACUCUGUGAAUAUUUUUCACUACAGUUCGAUGAAUCCCUGGAUGUAAUGCAAACAGCUCAGCUUGUUGUAUUUGUCAGAAUGGCUUUCCAGGAUUUUACAACAAAGGAAGACUUCCUCGCUCUUUUGCAAUUAAAGGAAAGAAUGAGAGGUGAGGAUAUUUACAAUGAGUUUAAAAAAUAUGUCCAUGAAAAUGACAUCCCCAUUCAUAAACUGGUAGCAAUUACUCCUGAUGGGGCCGAGCAAUGCGCAGUGUGUUUUAUAGCAAUAAAAGUCAGUGCGUACUUCAGGUUAACUUAUCUAGUUUUAUAGCACUGAAAGUCAGUGCCUACUUCGGGUCACUACUAUGUGAAAUUGCAUUUUCACAGAUGAAAAUUAUUAAAUCUAAGUACAGGAGCUGACUUACUAACAGACACCUCUCUAGGAUUGCCAACUUUCUCACUCCCAAAUAACAGACAAAAGUAGCAGUCAAAUCCCAGGACAUUUUGUCACAAUGGUGGGGCAUUGGGAGUAAGGGUGGACCCAAAUGCAAGACACAUCUUGUGAGGUUACUUCGAUUUAGUUUACUGUUCGAUACCAGGAGACAAGGCAGAAGCAGGAGGAGCAAACUGGACAAGUACUCAGGACUACGACUAGGCCGGACCAAGGGUCUGGGCUUGGACUCGGAAUCAGCUCCCAGAACUAGAGGAGACAUGAAGAGGCUAGGGUAUGGACUCCGAGCUGGAGACUGGACAAGGACCUAGUACCUGGGUCUUACCUCGGGCUCAGACCCAGAACCAGGCAAGGACAUGACAUGGGCUAGGGAGAGGAGGAACAUGGAAACACAGAGCCUUGGUCUCAGGGAGCAGGUACAUGGAACCAUGGACACAUACACAGAACAGAGAGUCGGGACCCCUCCUUGGGUACAGGACAUAGGGCCGGGACUCAUGACCCUCCGCAGGGCAACAGCAAGACAGCCAGACUUACCCCACGGAGGCAAGGACAAGACAAGACAUGACUCCCCAGGGGGCAAUGGCAAGACGGCCAGACUUGCCCCACAGAGGCAAGGACAAGACAAAACAAGACCAACACAAAAGAACCCCAGACAGUACCUAUCUAGCUCUGGCAAUGGAACUAGACCGAAGUGCAGGUGGGGGCUACAGACGAGGGCUGGAGGCAAGAGGGGCAGAGAACAGAUUCAGACCAGGGGGUAGGACAGGAAUCACAGAAUGCCAGGGCCAGGACUUGACUAGGUACUUGGAGGCCACCAGGGCCAGGACUUGACUUGGUACUCAGAGACUGCCAGGGCAGGACUUGUACUUGGACGUGGUACUUGGAUGCCACCGGAGCCAGGACCUGGACAUGGUACUUGGAUACCGCCAGAGCCAGGACUUGGACAUCGUACUUCAAUGCUGCCAGAGCCAGGACUUGGAUGUGGUACUUGGAACUUCCGGGUAGUGACGAGUUCUAGACUCGGCCCAGGAACAGUAAACAGCAGCUCCUGAUUCUCUCCGGCAGGUUAACUGAUGGACCCACCUCGAUGAGGAAACUUUGCAGGCUCGCUUUGGCAAGAUUCUGCUGUCAUACCCAGUGGUUCCACUUGUAAAUUUGGUUCACGUCCAGAAAGGGAAUGUGGACAU
Mobula hypostoma (lesser devil ray) is the source of this 1669-nucleotide long non-coding RNA. RefSeq lists it as uncharacterized. The record is from RefSeq and is a predicted model, not a curated record. NCBI's taxonomy places the organism in Eukaryota, Metazoa, Chordata, Chondrichthyes, Myliobatiformes, Myliobatidae. The transcript is spliced from 4 exons.